Panthera leo (lion) is the source of this 183-nucleotide small nuclear RNA. Its record names the gene U2. It matches the Rfam family "U2 spliceosomal RNA". Rfam says of the family: U2 is a small nuclear RNA (snRNA) component of the spliceosome (involved in pre-mRNA splicing). Complementary binding between U2 snRNA (in an area lying towards the 5' end but 3' to hairpin I) and the branchpoint sequence (BPS) of the intron results the bulging out of an unpaired adenosine, on the BPS, which initiates a nucleophilic attack at the intronic 5' splice site, thus starting the first of two transesterification reactions that mediate splicing. The record is from Ensembl. NCBI's taxonomy places the organism in Eukaryota, Metazoa, Chordata, Mammalia, Carnivora, Felidae.
AACGGUUCUCAGGCUCUUGGCUAAGGUCAAGUGUAGUACCUGUCCUUCUCGCCUUCGGUAUCUGAUACAUUCUCUAGUCGAGGACGGCAUACUAAAUGGGCUUAUUGGGGCUGGGAAGUGGGACCAAGGGCUCGCUCCGUCCAUUUCGUGCGUCAGUAUUACCAGAAUCCGUGCGCGCUUUCC